UCCCCACUACUCAGAAUUCUAACGCCACUCAAACUCCUCCCUAUAACCGCUAGAAAAUAAAGCCGAAACAGGGAAUUGAACACAGGAUCUUCAACAUACUUGCUACUCCACUUAGGCACCAGACCAGCAGGCCCAUUCUGAUAUUAACCUACUAACAUUUAAAAUUUUGCUCAAGUUAAAGCUUGAAACCAAGACUUCCC
Molecule: long non-coding RNA, 200 nt
Filed under: Gossypium barbadense (sea-island cotton)
Lineage: Eukaryota; Viridiplantae; Streptophyta; Magnoliopsida; Malvales; Malvaceae
Description: long non-coding RNA (GBAR_LNC004462)
Source: RNAcentral